This 840-nucleotide ribosomal RNA is filed under the name Staphylococcus saprophyticus. RNAcentral's name for it is "bacterial SSU rRNA". It matches the Rfam family "Bacterial small subunit ribosomal RNA", at positions 55 to 876 of the family's 1533-position model. Lineage: Bacteria; Bacillati; Bacillota; Bacilli; Caryophanales; Staphylococcaceae. The record is from RNAcentral.
AUGCAAGUCGAGCGCACAGAUAAGGAGCUUGCUCCUUUGACGUUAGCGGCGGACGGGUGAGUAACACGUGGGUAACCUACCUAUAAGACUGGGAUAACUUCGGGAAACCGGAGCUAAUACCGGAUAACAUUUGGAACCGCAUGGUUCUAAAGUGAAAGAUGGUUUUGCUAUCACUUAUAGAUGGACCCGCGCCGUAUUAGCUAGUUGGUAAGGUAACGGCUUACCAAGGCGACGAUACGUAGCCCACCUGAGAGGGUGAUCGGCCACACUGGAACUGAGACACGGUCCAGACUCCUACGGGAGGCAGCAGUAGGGAAUCUUCCGCAAUGGGCGAAAGCCUGACGGAGCAACGCCGCGUGAGUGAUGAAGGGUUUCGGCUCGUAAAACUCUGUUAUUAGGGAAGAACAAAUGUGUAAGUAACUGUGCACGUCUUGACGGUACCUAAUCAGAAAGCCACGGCUAACUACGUGCCAGCAGCCGCGGUAAUACGUAGGUGGCAAGCGUUAUCCGGAAUUAUUGGGCGUAAAGCGCGCGUAGGCGGUUUCUUAAGUCUGAUGUGAAAGCCCACGGCUCAACCGUGGAGGGUCAUUGGAAACUGGGAAACUUGAGUGCAGAAGAGGAAAGUGGAAUUCCAUGUGUAGCGGUGAAAUGCGCACAGAUAUGGAGGAACACCAGUGGCGAAGGCGACUUUCUGGUCUGUAACUGACGCUGAUGUGCGAAAGCGUGGGGAUCAAACAGGAUUAGAUACCCUGGUAGUCCACGCCGUAAACGAUGAGUGCUAAGUGUUAGGGGGUUUCCGCCCCUUAGUGCUGCACCUAACGCAAUAAGCACUCCGCCUGG